This 498-nucleotide small RNA is filed under the name Histoplasma ohiense. Its description in RNAcentral is "hypothetical lncRNA". Lineage: Eukaryota; Fungi; Ascomycota; Eurotiomycetes; Onygenales; Ajellomycetaceae. The record is from RNAcentral.
UACACAGGGGUGCCCCGGUGGCCGAAUGGGUAAUGCGGCCACCAGGUAGCGCCUUGGCGUGGGGACCCAGGGUGCGUGGGUUCGAAACCCACAGGGGACAACAUUACAUCCGGAGCCAACUUCUCAGCUCCUAAAAUAAUGGGAUGUGAACUUGCCAAGUAGGUACCUUCGGGCGGACCUACUACCUGAUUUAGCUUAUUGUUUCUGGGCUGGAAACCUGUAUUGCAUGUACCAAUUCUGUCUUUCAUUAAUUUUCCUAUGUUCUUGUUAUUCUUGGCGCUGUUCAACACUAAGCAUUCCUCCGGUAUAACCAACUCUUGCCUGUAUUUAACAUCACACAAGGACUCGUCAUAAGCGCUGCUUGCAUACGAGUAUAACGGAAGAAUAAUAAUAAUAAUAAUAAUAAUAAUAACUACACAGGGGUGGGGGAAGGAAUCUCUCAAUAGCUUAUCAGAAUCAAGAUUUACUCAGAGAUUUUAGUCUUCUAUAUUCUUUGUG